Molecule: long non-coding RNA, 203 nt
Filed under: Citrus x clementina
Lineage: Eukaryota; Viridiplantae; Streptophyta; Magnoliopsida; Sapindales; Rutaceae
Description: Citrus clementina (C. clementina) long non-coding RNA (CCLE_LNC006284)
Source: RNAcentral
CUGGUCCAGUGGGACCAAACGGAAACGGAAUCGGAGGCCGGGAUCAUGAGUUACGGCCGAAACCGGCAAAGCCUAUUAAGCGGCCCCCGAUCUUGCCCAUUUUUCGCCCUUCAAACUGCCGCGCGGCUACCCCCCCAUCCCGAUGCCCCCGGACCGCUGGUCCCGUGGGACGAAACGGAAACGGAAUCGGGGCCCCCGAUCAU